RNAcentral lists this ribosomal RNA (468 nucleotides) under uncultured bacterium. RNAcentral describes it as "partial 16S ribosomal RNA". It matches the Rfam family "Bacterial small subunit ribosomal RNA", at positions 28 to 507 of the family's 1533-position model. The record is from RNAcentral.
GACGAACGCUGGCGGCGUGCUUAACACAUGCAAGUCGAACGGAAAGGCCCUGCUUUUGUGGGGUGCUCGAGUGGCGAACGGGUGAGUAACACGUGAGUAACCUGCCCUUGACUUUGGGAUAACUUCAGGAAACUGGGGCUAAUACCGGAUAGGAGCUCCUGCUGCAUGGUGGGGGUUGGAAAGUUUCGGCGGUUGGGGUUGGACUCGCGGCUUAUCAGCUUGUUGGUGGGGUAGUGGCUUACCAAGGCUUUGACGGGUAGCCGGCCUGAGAGGGUGACCGGCCACAUUGGGACUGAGAUACGGCCCAGACUCCUACGGGAGGCAGCAGUGGGGAAUAUUGCACAAUGGGCGGAAGCCUGAUGCAGCAACGCCGCGUGCGGGAUGACGGCCUUCGGGUUGUAAACCGCUUUCGCCUGUGACGAAGCGUGAGUGACGGUAAUGGGUAAAGAAGCACCGGCUAAUUACGUG